CUUAAGGGGAAGUUGGUGAUCCUAUGCUGCCAAGAAAAUCUCCUAGCGAGGUUCUAGCCGCCCGUACCCCAAACCGACUCAGGUGGUUAGGUAGAGAAUACCAAGGCGAUCGAGUGAAUCGUGGUUAAGGAAUUCGGCAAAAUACCCCCGUAACUUCGGGAGAAGGGGGGCCCAGAGGGUGACGGGACUUGCUCCCCGAGCCUGAACGGCCGCAGAGACCAGGGAGAAGCGACUGUUUACUAAAAACACAGGUCCGUGCCAAGUCGCAAGACGAUGUAUACGGACUGACGCCUGCCCGGUGCUGGAACGUUAAGGGGACCGGUUAGCCUCACGGCGAAGCUGAGAACUUAAGCGCCAGUAAACGGCGGUGGUAACUAUAACCAUCCUAAGGUAGCGAAAUUCCUUGUCGGGUAAGUUCCGACCUGCACGAAUGGCGUAACGACUUCUCCACUGUCUCAACCACGAACUCGGCGAAAUUGCACUACGAGUAAAGAUGCUCGUUACGCGCAGAAGGACGGAAAGACCCCGGGACCUUUACUACAGCUUGGUAUUGGUGUUCGGUACGGCUUGUGUAGGAUAGGUGGGAGACUGUGAAGCUGACACGCCAGUGUAGGUGGAGUCAACGUUGAAAUACCACUCUGGUCGUUCUGGAUAUCUAACCUAGGUCCGUAAUCCGGAUCAGGGACAGUGCCUGGUGGGUAGUUUAACUGGGGCGGUUGCCUCCUGAAAGGUAACGGAGGCGCCCAAAGGUUCCCUCAGCCUGGUUGGCAAUCAGGCUUCGAGUGUAAGUGCACAAGGGAGCUUGACUGUGAGACUGACAAGUCGAACAGGGACGAAAGUCGGGACUAGUGAUCCGGCGGUGGCUUGUGGAAGCGCCGUCGCUCAACGGAUAAAAGGUACCCCGGGGAUAACAGGCUGAUCUUGCCCAAGAGUCCAUAUCGACGGCAUGGUUUGGCACCUCGAUGUCGGCUCGUCGCAUCCUGGGGCUGGAGUAGGUCCCAAGGGUUGGGCUGUUCGCCCAUUAAAGCGGUACGCGAGCUGGGUUUAGAACGUCGUGAGACAGUUCGGUCCCUAUCCUCUGCGCGCGCAGGAAACUUGAGAAGGGCUGUCCCUAGUACGAGAGGACCGGGAUGGACGGACCUCUGGUGUGUCAGUUGUUCUGCCAAGAGCACCGCUGAUUAGCUACGUUCGGGAGUGAUAACCGCUGAAAGCAUCUAAGCGGGAAGCAUGCUUCAAGAUGAGGUUUCCAUGGGGUUUACCCCGAGAGGCUCCCAGCUAGACUACUGGGUUGAUAGGCCGGAUGUGGAAGUGCGGUAACGCAUGGAGCUGACCGGUACUAAUAAGCCGAUAACUUGACU
This 1358-nucleotide ribosomal RNA is filed under the name metagenome. RNAcentral's name for it is "bacterial LSU rRNA". It matches the Rfam family "Bacterial large subunit ribosomal RNA", at positions 1575 to 2925 of the family's 2925-position model. The record is from RNAcentral.